This is a non-coding RNA of Hibiscus syriacus, 74 nucleotides long. The record is from the annotation of a RefSeq genome assembly. NCBI's taxonomy places the organism in Eukaryota, Viridiplantae, Streptophyta, Magnoliopsida, Malvales, Malvaceae.
GUCCGUCCAGCUCAGUUGGUUAGAGCACAAGGCUAUUAAUCUUGUGGUCGUGGGAUUGAGUCCCACAGUGGACA